RNAcentral lists this ribosomal RNA (194 nucleotides) under uncultured Entrophospora. RNAcentral describes it as "uncultured Claroideoglomus partial 18S ribosomal RNA". It matches the Rfam family "Eukaryotic small subunit ribosomal RNA", at positions 569 to 766 of the family's 1831-position model. The record is from RNAcentral. Lineage: Eukaryota; Fungi; Glomeromycota; Glomeromycetes; Entrophosporales; Entrophosporaceae.
AGCAGCCGCGGUAAUUCCAGCUCCAAUAGCGUAUAUUAAAGUUGUUGCAGUUAAAAAGCUCGUAGUUGAAUUUCGAGACCGGUUUACUGGUCGUGCUUUUGUACGUACUGGUAUUAUUGGUUUCUCCUUUCUGACGAAUCAUAAUGCCAUUAAUUUGGUGUUUUGGGGAAUCAGGACUGUUACUUUGAAAAAAU